RNAcentral lists this ribosomal RNA (468 nucleotides) under uncultured bacterium. RNAcentral describes it as "partial 16S ribosomal RNA". It matches the Rfam family "Bacterial small subunit ribosomal RNA", at positions 28 to 507 of the family's 1533-position model. The record is from RNAcentral.
GACGAACGCUGGCGGCGUGCUUAACACAUGCAAGUCGAACGGUGAUGCUCCAGCUUGCUGGCGUGGAUCAGUGGCGAACGGGUGAGUAACACGUGAGCAACCUGCCCCAGACUCUGGGAUAAGCGCUGGAAACGGCGUCUAAUACUGGAUACGAAACUGGCACGCAUGGGCAUGGUUAGGAAAGUUCGUCGGUUUUGGAUGGGCUGGCGGGCUAUCAGCUUGUUGGUGAGGUAAUGGCUCACCAAGGCGACGACGGGUAGCCGGCCUGAGAGGGCGACCGGCCACACUGGGCCUGCGACACGGCCCAGUAUCCUACGGGAGGCAGAAGGGGGGAAUAUGGCACAAUGGGCGCAAGCCUGAUGCAGCGACGCCGCGUGCGUGAUGACGGCCUUCGGGUUGUAAACCUCUUUCAGCAGGGAAGAAGCGAAAGUGACGGUACCUGCAGAAGAAGCACCGGCUAACUACGUG